AAGUUGAACUUCCUGGAAUAAUACAGUCACCAUAGGAGUUAAAACACGCUCGGAAUGGGAGGAGCUAGACAGUAAUAUUCAGUUGGUUGUCAUCUACAAUUUCACAGCUAGAUGGGAGAAAUUCUUAAAGAAUGUAGCUUUAAAGCUGCUAAUAGUAUCCUC
Molecule: long non-coding RNA, 162 nt
Organism: Etheostoma cragini (Arkansas darter)
Lineage: Eukaryota; Metazoa; Chordata; Actinopteri; Perciformes; Percidae
Exons: 3
Source: RefSeq, a predicted model, not a curated record